GUGAAGUGAUGAUGAAGUUUAUCCAUUCUCUGAGUUUUGCUGUUUNGCCCUUUCCUUCCCGUCUCGAUUCCUGUCCUAGGGUCUUGAUGUUGCGUAGCCACAAGACACUUUCCAACCUUCCAAUGUUCUAUUGGGAGCUGGGAGUGCUCCAGUGGCUNCUGGAAGGACAUGGGCAGAAAAGGCAGAGCCAGGGCCCCUUUGUUCUGGGGCUCUGGCUUGAACCAAGAAGAAUGAAACUAUCUGAUCAC
Molecule: small nucleolar RNA, 248 nt
Filed under: Salvator merianae (Argentine black and white tegu)
Lineage: Eukaryota; Metazoa; Chordata; Lepidosauria; Squamata; Teiidae
Description: Small nucleolar RNA SNORD17 (ENSSMRG00000013156.1)
Rfam family: Small nucleolar RNA SNORD17
About the family: The snoRNA HBI-43 belongs to the C/D family of snoRNAs, guiding 2'O-ribose methylation at position U3797 of the 28S rRNA. Pseudouridylation in position U3797 is predicted to be guided by the H/ACA snoRNA ACA48.
Source: RNAcentral